Molecule: long non-coding RNA, 1018 nt
Organism: Neopsephotus bourkii (Bourke's parrot)
Lineage: Eukaryota; Metazoa; Chordata; Aves; Psittaciformes; Psittacidae
Exons: 3
Source: RefSeq, a predicted model, not a curated record
AUGGUUUUCCUUCUUGACCUAUUGCCUAUUAUCUAUAGUCAAAAGCACCUAGACAGUACCCACACAGUGAGCUCGAUUAAGUAUGCCUUGAAUCUAGGGUGGAAAAGUCUGGCUGACUACCUCUGACAUUUAAGCUCCUGAGUUAUGUUCAGCAGCAGUAAACUUACCAAAUUGUGUAGCAAUCAUAAAAUACAGUCUAAGAAAAAUUAAGCAUUUGAACUGAAAUAUGUCAAACUUGCAAAAGGUUCAACCCAAUUCAGUGUCAGUCUCCAAGGAUGGAACUAUUUCUGAGCAAGUUGCUAGUUAUGAUAUAAAAAAUGAGUAUGUUUUGGCAAAACGUGCAUUUUUAGAACUGAAAAAAUGAAACCUAUAUAUACCACUCUAAAUAAUUUUUAGACUGAAGUAAAAAUUUGUCUUGAUUUAUACUAUGUAAACCAGACCCAGACAGAGUGUAUGUGUACAACGGAGUAGGAUGAAACCUAAAUCUUUAGAAUUUACAAUCCUAAUAAUUUAUUACAUUCAAACACACUGUAAUGCUGAGAUGAUUAAAACAAGAUUAUAGAGCCAUCAAAUACUGUGAUGUCUUUCAUACUCAGAACUGCUUCCCACUUCAGUUCACCUCCACCUGUUAACUCAUUUCUAUGCUUCCAUUAAGGGCAGACGGAAGAUUAUGCAAACCACCCAGAACUCCUUGUGGAAGUACAUCCUGGAGGGGUGACUGGGCACAUACCACUUUCCGCUCCAGCUUCAGCAAUGAGUGAAACUCAAGUCUCGUGGGGCUACUGGGUUACCUCUUCCACAGAUUCGUGGUCUUUAGAGAAAUUUAUGAGAAGCCAUGUCAGACAUCAAAGAGCUGUUGAAGUUGUCAAAUUUCAGGCUUAAAAGAACUGCAAGAGAUGCCAAAGCCAAGUUUGUUCUGUUCACAUUGUGUAGCCACUAAUGAAAUAAAAUACCAAGGAGGCAAAGGGAGAACGGAGAGACAGCAGGCAAAAAUAAUUCCUGAACACAGCAGAUGGCA